RNAcentral lists this ribosomal RNA (793 nucleotides) under Methanosaeta sp. enrichment culture clone LA_28. Its description in RNAcentral is "bacterial SSU rRNA". It matches the Rfam family "Archaeal small subunit ribosomal RNA", at positions 85 to 879 of the family's 1478-position model. Lineage: Archaea; Methanobacteriati; Methanobacteriota; Methanomicrobia; Methanotrichales; Methanotrichaceae. The record is from RNAcentral.
ACGGCUCAGUAACACGUGGACAACCUGCCCUUAGGUUGGGUAUAAACCCGGGAAACUGGGUAUAAUACCCGAUAGGUCUCGAUUGCUGGAAUGCAUCGAGAUUUAAAGCUCCGGCGCCUAAGGAUGGGUCUGCGGCCUAUCAGGUAGUAGUGGGUGUAGCGUACCUACUAGCCUACGACGGGUACGGGUUGUGAGAGCAAGAGCCCGGAGAUGGAUUCUGAGACACGAAUCCAGGCCCUACGGGGUGCAGCAGGCGCGAAAACUUUACAAUGCUGGCAACAGCGAUAAGGGAACCUCGAGUGCCAGGUUACAAAUCUGGCUGUCGAGAUGCCUAAAAAGCAUUUCAUAGCAAGGGCCGGGCAAGACCGGUGCCAGCCGCCGCGGUAACACCGGCGGCUCGAGUGGUAACCGUUAUUAUUGGGUCUAAAGGGUCUGUAGCCGGCCGGAUAAGUCUCUUGAGAAAUCUGGCAGCUUAACUGUCAGGCUUUCAGGAGAUACUGUCUGGCUCGAGGCCGGGAGAGGUGAGAGGUACUUCAGGGGUAGGGGUGAAAUCUUGUAAUCCUUGAAGGACCACCAGUGGCGAAGGCGUCUCACCAGAACGGACCUGACGGCAAGGGACGAAAGCUAGGGGCACGAACCGGAUUAGAUACCCGGGUAGUCCUAGCCGUAAACGAUACUCGCUAGGUGUCGGCCACGGUGCGACCGUUGUCGGUGCCGCAGGGAAGCCGUGAAGCGAGCCACCUGGGAAGUACGGCCGCAAGGCUGAAACUUAAAGGAAUUGGCGGGGGAGCAC